CCUACGGGUGGCAGCAGUGGGGAAUAUUGGGCAAUGGGCGCAAGCCUGACCCAGCAACGCCGCGUGAAGGAAGAAGGCUCUCGGGUUGGAAACUUCUUUUAUCAAGGACGAAACAAAUGACGGUACUUGAUGAAUAAGACACGGCUAACUACGUGCCAGCAGCCGCGGUAAUACGUAGGUGGCAAGCGUUAUCCGGAUUUACUGGGUGUAAAGGGCGGGUAGGCGGGACUGCAAGUCAGAUGUGAAAACCAUGGGCUCAACCCAUGGCCUGCAUUUGAUACUGUAGUUCUUGAGUGUUGGAGGGGCAGGCGGAAUUCCGUGUGUAGCGGUGAAAUGCGUAGAUAUACGGAGGAACACCAGUGGCGAAGGCGGCCUGCUGGACAAUAACUGACGCUGAGGCGCGAAGGCGAGGGGAGCGAAAGGGAUUAGAUACCCGUGUAGUC
Molecule: ribosomal RNA, 443 nt
Filed under: uncultured bacterium
Lineage: Bacteria
Description: partial 16S ribosomal RNA
Rfam family: Bacterial small subunit ribosomal RNA
Source: RNAcentral